RNAcentral lists this ribosomal RNA (253 nucleotides) under uncultured bacterium. RNAcentral describes it as "partial 16S ribosomal RNA". It matches the Rfam family "Bacterial small subunit ribosomal RNA", at positions 524 to 776 of the family's 1533-position model. The record is from RNAcentral.
UACGUAGGGGGCAAGCGUUGUCCGGAUUUAUUGGGCGUAAAGAGCGUGUAGGCGGCUAGGUAGGUCCGUUGUGAAAACUCGAGGCUCAACCUCGAGACGCCGGUGGAAACUGCAAAGCUAGAGUCCGGAAGAGGAGAGUGGAAUUCCUGGUGUAGCGGUGAAAUGCGCAGAUAUCAGGAAGAACACCCGUGGCGAAGGCGGCUCUCUGGGACGGUACUGACGCUGAGACGCGAAAGCGUGGGGAGCGAACAGG